GAUGAAGAACGUAGCGAAUUGCGAUAUGUAAUGUGAAUUGCAGAAUUCAGUGAAUCAUCGAAUCUUUGAACGCACCUUGCACCCUCUGGUAUUCCGGAGGGUAUGCCUGUUUGAGUGUCAUUAACAUCUCAACGCUUGAUGGGUUCUUGUAACCCGUUCAGUGGUUGGACUUUGAAGGUUGCCGGUGUCAAAGCCAGCUCCUUUUAAAUGCAUGAGCAAGGACUAUUCCGAAUCGGCUUCGGUUUGAUAAAUUUGACUUAUCUGAUGCCGUCGCUGAGGAACUAUGGUCGACCUGCUUCUAAUUGUCUUCGGACUGUCUCCUUGUGAGGCAACUAUAUUGACUCUUGACCUCAAAUCAGGUAGGACUACCCGCUGAACUUAAGCAUAUCAAUAAGCGGAGGA
Molecule: unclassified non-coding RNA, 402 nt
Filed under: soil metagenome
Description: partial contains 5.8S ribosomal RNA, internal transcribed spacer 2, and large subunit ribosomal RNA
Rfam family: 5.8S ribosomal RNA (bases 1-120)
Source: RNAcentral